Molecule: ribosomal RNA, 403 nt
Filed under: bacterium
Lineage: Bacteria
Also listed under: 1 other name
Description: partial 16S ribosomal RNA
Rfam family: Bacterial small subunit ribosomal RNA
Source: RNAcentral
UGGGGAAUAUUGCACAAUGGAGGGAACUCUGAUGCAGCGACGCCGCGUGAACGAAGAAGGCUUUCGAGUCGUAAAGUUCUUUUAUAUGGGAAGAUAAUGACGGUACCAUAAGAAAAAGCCCCGGCUAACUACGUGCCAGCAGCCGCGGUAAUACGUAGGGGGCUAGCGUUGUCCGGAAUCACUGGGCGUAAAGGGUUCGCAGGCGGAAAUGCAAGUCAGGUGUAAAAGGCAGUAGCUUAACUACUGUAAGCAUUUGAAACUGCAUAUCUUGAGAAGAGUAGAGGUGAGUGGAAUUUUUAGUGUAGCGGUGAAAUGCGUAGAUAUUAAAAAGAAUACCGGUGGCGAAGGCGACUUACUGGGCUCAUUCUGACGCUGAGGAACGAAAGCGUGGGUAGCAAACAGG